AAACGCGUCACCUACUCCGACGG
This 23-nucleotide non-coding RNA is filed under the name Arabidopsis thaliana (thale cress). The record is from RNAcentral. Lineage: Eukaryota; Viridiplantae; Streptophyta; Magnoliopsida; Brassicales; Brassicaceae.